UCCCCUCGCGGCUGCGCCGCGACCGAGACCUUGAUCUUCUGAAAGGGUUCGAGUGAGAGCCAUACUGUCGGGACCCGAAAGAUGGUGAACUAUGCCUGAGCGGGGCGAAGCCAGAGAACUCUGGUGGAGGCCCGAAGGAUACUUUGACGUGCAAACGUUUCGGUCAUGACUUGGGUAUUAGGGCGAAAGACUAACUCGAACGUCUAGUAGCUGGUUUCCCUCCGAAGUUUCCCUCAGGAUAAGCUGGAGCUGGUGGAAGAUUUAUGGGUAAAGCCAAUGAUUAGAGGCAUCGGUGGGGCGCAACGCCUCAACCUUUCAUAAACUUUAAAUAGGUAGGACGUCGCGGCUGCUUCGUGAGCCGCGACACGGAAUCGAGAGCUCAAGUGGGACAUUUUGGUAAGCAGAACUGGCGAUGCGGGAUGGAGAGAGGAAGCCGGGAUUACGGCGCCGGACUGCGCGCUAACCUGAUCCCACAAAGGGUGUUGGUCGAUUAAGACACAGGACGGUGGUCAUGGAAGCGAUAAUCCGCUAAGGAGUGUGUAACAACUCACCUGCCGAAUCAACUAGCCCGAAAUGGAUGGCGCUUAAACCCCCCUACCCCGGCCGUCGCGGCAAGUGCCAGGCCCCGAUGAGUAGAGAGGGCCGCGGCGGUCGCCGCAAAGCUGUGGCGCGAGCCAGGGGCGGAGCUCCGUCGGUGCAGAUCUUGGUGGUAAUAGCAAAUAUUCAAGUGAGAACUUUGAAGCCGAAGAGGGGAAAGGUUCCAUGUGAACGGCACUUGCACAUGGUUAGUCGAUCUAGAGACGGGGAAGCCCGUCCGACAGCGGCGCCAGCGCGAGCUUCGAAAGGGAAUCGGGUUAACAUUCCUGACCGGGGACGUGGCGGCUGACGGCAACGUUUAGGGAGUCCGAGACGUCGCGGGGGCCUCGGGAAAGAGUUAUCUUUUCUGUUUAUAUAUCAACCCUGGAAAGCCGCAUCCGCCGGAGGUAGGGUCAGCGGCCGGAAGAGCACCGCACGUCGCGUGGUGUCCGGUGCGCCCGACCGGCGGUCCCUUGAAAAUCCGGAGGACCGAGUGCCCGACCACGCCGGUCAGGUACUCAUAACGCAUUCGGGUCUCAGGAGACACGCCGGUCGAUGGACACAAUGUCAGGCAAGGGAAGGUCGGCAAAAUGGAUCCGUAACUUCGGAAAAAGGGCUGGCUCUUGAGUGGCUGGGCACGGGGGUCCCAGUCCCGAACCCGUCGGGCAGGUCCGUGGACUGCUCAGCUGCCGGCGCGAGAGCGGGUCGCCGCGUGCCGGCCGGGGACGGACUGGGAACGGCCCCUCGGGGCCUUUCGCCGUCGGGCGUCGAACAGCCGACUCAGAACUGGGUACGGGCGGGGAAUCCGACUGUUUAAUUAAAACAAAGCAUUGCGAUGGUCCCUGAGGAUGCUAACGCAAUGUGAUUCUGCCCAGUGCUCUGAAUCAAGAUGAAGAAAUUCAACCAAGCGCGGGUUAAACGUGGGAGUAACUAUGACUCUCUUAUGGUAGCACAGGUCUUCAAAAUAUUAUGACGCGCAUUAAUGGGAUUAACGAGAUCCCAACUGUCCCUGUCUACUAUCCACGAAACCACAGCUGGGAACGGGCUUGGCAGAAUCAGCGGAGGAAAGAAGACCGCUGUUGAGCUUGACUCUAGUCCGACUGUUGUGAAAUGACUUGAGAGGUCGUAGGAUAAGUGGGAGCUCGGGCAAAAGUGAAAUACCACUACUUUUAAGCGUUAUUUUACUUCUCCGCUGAGUCGAGGCGGGGCAGGCCCCUCUUUUUAUGGACCCAAGGCCCGCCCCAGCGGGCCGAUCCGAUCCGAAUCCGCGACGGAACCGGGCCCAGUCCCUGGUGGAAGAGGGGGCGCCAGAGAGGGUGAGAGGCCCCGUCGGCCCGGACCUGUCGCACUACGAGGCGCAGUCGAGCGAGCUCGUUGUAUUUGCGGAAUGGCAGUCCCAAGCGGGCGGUAAAUUCCGUCCAAGGCUAAAGUAACCGGCGAGAAGAGACCGAUAGAGCGAAACAAGUCCGCGGCGGGGAAAGACAAAAGA
This 2065-nucleotide ribosomal RNA is filed under the name Nepenthes rafflesiana. Its description in RNAcentral is "eukaryotic LSU rRNA". It matches the Rfam family "Eukaryotic large subunit ribosomal RNA", at positions 742 to 2608 of the family's 3401-position model. The record is from RNAcentral. Lineage: Eukaryota; Viridiplantae; Streptophyta; Magnoliopsida; Caryophyllales; Nepenthaceae.